This 370-nucleotide ribosomal RNA is filed under the name uncultured bacterium. Its description in RNAcentral is "bacterial SSU rRNA". It matches the Rfam family "Bacterial small subunit ribosomal RNA", at positions 28 to 418 of the family's 1533-position model. The record is from RNAcentral.
GACGAACGCUGGCGGCGUGCCUAAUGCAUGCAAGUCGCACGCACCGUGCUUGCACGGUGAGUGGCGCACGGCUGAGUAGCACGUGGAUCACCUGCCCCACGGUGGGGAUAACGCCGCGAAAGCGGCGCUAAUCCCGCAUACGCUCGCAAGAGGAAAGCGCCUCGGCGCGCCGUGGGAGGGGUCGUGCGGCCCAUCAGGUUGUUGGUGUGGUAACGGCGCACCAAGCCCGCGACGGGUAGCUGGUCUGUGAGGACAGACAGCCAGACUGGGACUGAGAUACGGCCCAGCUCCUACGGGAGGCAGCAGCAAGGGAUUUUCCGCAAUGGGCGCAAGCCUGACGGAGCAACGCCGCGUGCGGGACGACGGCCUC